This 433-nucleotide ribosomal RNA is filed under the name uncultured Lachnospiraceae bacterium. Its description in RNAcentral is "partial 16S ribosomal RNA". It matches the Rfam family "Bacterial small subunit ribosomal RNA", at positions 341 to 792 of the family's 1533-position model. The record is from RNAcentral. Lineage: Bacteria; Bacillati; Bacillota; Clostridia; Lachnospirales; Lachnospiraceae.
ACGGAAGGCAGCAGUGGGGAAUAUUGCACAAUGGGCGAAAGCCUGAUGCAGCGACGCCGCGUGAGCGAAGAAGUAUUUCGGUAUGUAAAGCUCUAUCAGCAGGGAAGAUAAUGACGGUACCUGACUAAGAAGCACCGGCUAAAUACGUGCCAGCAGCCGCGGUAAUACGGAGGAUCCGAGCGUUAUCCGGAUUUAUUGGGUUUAAAGGGUGCGCAGGCGGCCCUGUAAGUCAGCGGUUAAAUCGUGGAGCUCAACUCCAUCCCGCCGUUGAUACUGCAGGGCUUGAUUGCGGUCGAGGUUGGCGGAAUUCGCCGUGUAGCGGUGAAAUGCAUAGAUAUGGCGAAGAACUCCGAUUGCGUAGGCAGCUGACCAGGCCGUAAAUGACGCUCAUGCACGAAAGUGCGGAGAUCGAACAGGAUUAGAUACCCUGGUA